CGGCGCGGUGGUCGGCGGAGACCCGGCGCAGGAAGCCGGCAAUGGCAGCGUACGACCCGCCCUGCGCCGUC
This 71-nucleotide transfer RNA is filed under the name Allostella sp. ATCC 35155. Its description in RNAcentral is "Stella sp. ATCC 35155 tRNA-Pro". The record is from RNAcentral. Lineage: Bacteria; Pseudomonadati; Pseudomonadota; Alphaproteobacteria; Rhodospirillales; Allostellaceae.